RNAcentral lists this ribosomal RNA (492 nucleotides) under uncultured bacterium. Its description in RNAcentral is "partial 16S ribosomal RNA". It matches the Rfam family "Bacterial small subunit ribosomal RNA", at positions 29 to 507 of the family's 1533-position model. The record is from RNAcentral.
AGUGAACGCUGGCGGUAGGCCUAACACAUGCAAGUCGAACGGCAGCACAGUAAGAGCUUGCUCUUACGGGUGGCGAGUGGCGGACGGGUGAGGAAUACAUCGGAAUCUACUUUUUCGUGGGGGAUAACGUAGGGAAACUUACGCUAAUACCGCAUACGACCUACGGGUGAAAGCAGGGGAUCUUCGGACCUUGCGCGAUUGAAUGAGCCGAUGUCGGAUUAGCUAGUUGGCGGGGUAAAGGCCCACCAAGGCGACGAUCCGUAGCUGGUCUGAGAGGAUGAUCAGCCACACUGGAACUGAGACACGGUCCAGACUCCUACGGGAGGCAGCAGUGGGGAAUAUUGGACAAUGGGCGCAAGCCUGAUCCAGCCAUACCGCGUGGGUGAAGAAGGCCUUCGGGUUGUAAAGCCCUUUUGUUUGGAAGGAAAAGCAGCAGGUUAAUACCCCGCUGUUCUGACGGUACCCAAAGAAUAAGCACCGGCUAACUUCGUG